CAUCUGCUCUAGAAGAGAACGGUGCCCCAAUCCUACGUGGAGCCUAGGCCUUGGGAAAGGAGUGGUCACUCACGAAUGCUGCCAAAACAUACUACUUGUCAUGGUGCAGCACCACGCCACAGCUCUGGACUGGGAUUUGAACCCAGGCUCAGACUUAUAAAGGCUGCAGACAUCCCACACUGCAAAAACUCAUUUCAGGGAGUUAGCACCAUCAAUUUGCGGGAGACUUCCAGGAGAGGCAUCAGGAAGCCACUAUUCAUAUGCGGGAGACUACCGGAACUUCUGGGAGAGGUGGGAUGUCCGAGACUGGUAAAAGCUCAAAGAACAGAAGACAGCCUCCGGGCCCACUGGACCAGUCCUGGCAUUCGACAUGUUCAUGGCUGAUCAGCCUGAACGAGAAGGCUUUCACAGAAAUGAAAUCAUCCGUUGUCAUCUUCCAAAAUUUCCUAGAUUUGGGAUUUGAAACACCCUGAUACACUGUCACCUUCUAGGAUAAAUACUGCACACCAAGGUCAUUUCACUCCCAUUAAUAUUAAUAAAAUAUAGCAUUGUUGGCCCAACAGUAGAGCUAUCUGCAUGUGGUACCGGCUAGUAGUCCAUGAGCAGGUACAACACAUAGUUGGUGGUUUGGCCCCAUAUUAGUCCAAAUUAGCAGACUUGGGAGUUUAGAGGGUUCAUUUUCAUAGUUAACAAAUGUCGCACUGAGAGGAGCAAAAAUUUUAGUAACUAAUUGCUUUCAAAGGAAGGGUGUAAAAGGGCUGUGAAGCAAUUGAAGCAGAGAACUCC
Long non-coding RNA from Mobula hypostoma (lesser devil ray), 786 nucleotides. RefSeq lists it as uncharacterized. Lineage: Eukaryota; Metazoa; Chordata; Chondrichthyes; Myliobatiformes; Myliobatidae. The transcript is spliced from 3 exons. The record is from RefSeq and is a predicted model, not a curated record.